RNAcentral lists this ribosomal RNA (270 nucleotides) under Triticum aestivum (bread wheat). Its description in RNAcentral is "partial small subunit ribosomal RNA". Lineage: Eukaryota; Viridiplantae; Streptophyta; Magnoliopsida; Poales; Poaceae. The record is from RNAcentral.
AUGCGGCGGGCGAGCUGGAUGUCCUUGGGCAUGAUGGUGACGCGCUUGGCGUGGAUGGCGCACAGGUUGGUGUCCUCGAACAGCCCCACCAGGUACGCCUCGGCCGCCUCCUGGAGGGCCAGCACGGCGUGGGACUGGAAGCGGAGGUCCGUCUUGAAGUCCUGCGCGAUCUCCCUCACCAGGCGCUGGAACGGCAGCUUGCGGAUCAGCAGCUCCGUGCUCUUCUGGUACUUGCGGAUCUCCCGGAGCGCCACGGUACCGGGCCUGUAG